GGGCGGGAGAGGUCUGAGGUACUACAGGGCUAGGGGUGAAAUCUGAUAAUCCUUGUAGGACCACCAGUGGCGAAGGCGUCAGACUGGAACGCGCCUGACGGUGAGGGACGAAAGCCAGGGGAGCGAACCGGAUUAGAUACCCGGGUAGUCCUGGCCGUAAACGAUGCAUACUAGGCAAUGGUGCGGCUAUGAGCCGCAUCAGUACCGUAGGGAAACCGUUAAGUGUGCCGCCUGGGAAGUACGGUCGCAAGGCUAAAACUUAAAGGAAUUGGCGGGGGAGCACCACAAGGGGUGAAGCCUGCGGUUCAAUUGGACUCAACGCCGGGAAACUUACCAGGGGAGACAGCAGAAUGACAGUCAGGUUGACGACCUUACUCGACGAGCUGAGAGGAGGUGCAUGGCCGUCGCCAGUUCGUGCUGUGAGGUAUCCUGUUAAGUCAGGCAACGAACGAGAUCCGCGCCUUUAUCUGCCAUCAAGAAGUCACGACUUUGUUGGGAACAAUAAAGGGACCGCCGUCGAUAAGACGGAGGAAGGAGCGGGCAAAGGCAGGUCAGUAUGCCCCGAAACCCCUGGGCUACACGCGGGCUGCAAUGGUGCGAACAAUGGGCUGUAACUCCUGAAAGGAGAAACCAAUCCCUGA
Molecule: ribosomal RNA, 641 nt
Filed under: uncultured crenarchaeote
Lineage: Archaea; Thermoproteati; Thermoproteota
Description: bacterial SSU rRNA
Rfam family: Archaeal small subunit ribosomal RNA
Source: RNAcentral